UGAGUGGCGGACGGGUGAGUAACACGUAGGUAACCUGCCCCGGAGCGGGGGAUAACAUUUGGAAACAGAUGCUAAUACCGCAUAACAACAAAAACCACAUGGCUUUUGUUUGAAAGAUGGCUUUGGCUAUCACUCUGGGAUGGACCUGCGGUGCAUUAGCUAGUUGGUAAGGUAACGGCUUACCAAGGCGAUGAUGCAUAGCCGAGUUGAGAGACUGAUCGGCCACAAUGGAACUGAGACACGGUCCAUACUCCUACGGGAGGCAGCAGUAGGGAAUCUUCCACAAUGGGCGCAAGCCUGAUGGAGCAACACCGCGUGAGUGAAGAAGGGUUUCGGCUCGUAAAACUCUGUUGUUGGAGAAGAACGUGCGUGAGAGUAACUGUUCACGCAGUGACGGUAUCCAACCAGAAAGUCACGGCUAACUACGUGCCAGCAGCCGCGGUAAUACGUAGGUGGCAAGCGUUAUCCGGAUUUAUUGGGCGUAAAGCGAGCGCAGGCGGUUGCUUAGGUCUGAUGUGAAAGCCUUCGGCUUAACCGAAGAAGUGCAUCGGAAACCGGGCGACUUGAGUGCAGAAGAGGACAGUGGAACUCCAUGUGUAGCGGUGGAAUGCGUAGAUAUAUGGAAGAACACCAGUGGCGAAGGCGGCUGUCUGGUCUGCAACUGACGCUGAGGCUCGAAAGCAUGGGUAGCGAACAGGAUUAGAUACCCUGGUAGUCCAUGC
Molecule: ribosomal RNA, 722 nt
Filed under: uncultured bacterium
Lineage: Bacteria
Description: bacterial SSU rRNA
Rfam family: Bacterial small subunit ribosomal RNA
Source: RNAcentral